AGUCACUGACAUUAGAUACCCGCGUAGUCCAGGGUGUAAACGCUGCAGACUUGGUGUUGGGAACCCUUCGGGGGUGCUCAGUGCCGGAGAGAAGUUGUUAAGUCUGCUACUUGGGGAGUACGUCCGCAAGGAUGAAACUUAAAGGAAUUGGCGGGGGAGCACCGCAACGGGAGGAGCGUGCGGUUUAAUUGGAUUCAACACCGUAAAACUCACCAGGGAAGACUGUUACAUGAAAGCCGAGAUGAAGACUCUGCUAGAUUUUCAG
RNAcentral lists this ribosomal RNA (265 nucleotides) under uncultured archaeon. Its description in RNAcentral is "partial 16S ribosomal RNA". It matches the Rfam family "Archaeal small subunit ribosomal RNA", at positions 716 to 982 of the family's 1478-position model. The record is from RNAcentral.